RNAcentral lists this ribosomal RNA (473 nucleotides) under uncultured bacterium. Its description in RNAcentral is "partial 16S ribosomal RNA". It matches the Rfam family "Bacterial small subunit ribosomal RNA", at positions 28 to 523 of the family's 1533-position model. The record is from RNAcentral.
GACGAACGCUGGCGGCGCGCCUUACGCAUGCAAGUCGAACGGAGUACUCCCUCGGGGGUGCUCAGUGGCAGACGGGUGAGUAACACGUAGGUAACCUGCCCAGGAGUGGGGAAUAACUCUCCGAAAGGAGAGCUAAUACCGCAUGACGUCGCUCCGGACAACGGGGUGACCAAAGCAGCAAUGCGCUCUUGGAGGGGCCUGCGGCCCAUCAGCUAGUUGGCGGGGUAACGGCCCACCAAGGCAACGACGGGUAGCUGGUCUGAGAGGACGGCCAGCCACAAGGGGACUGAGACACGGCCCCUACUCCUACGGGAGGCAGCAGCGAGGAAUCUUGGGCAAUGGGCGAAAGCCUGACCCAGCGACGCCGCGUGGAGGACGAAGGCCUUCGGGUUGUAAACUCCUUUUGCCGGGGAAGAUAAUGACGGUACCCGGCGAAUAAGCCACGGCUAACUACGUGCCAGCAGCCGCCGUAA